CACGUAGGCACCAAGCGUUGUCCGGAUUUAUUGGGCGUAAAGAGCUCGUAGGCGGUUCGGUAAGUCGGGUGUGAAAACUUUGGGCUCAACCCAAAGCCUGCACCCGAUACUGCUGUGACUUGAGUCCGGUAGGGGAGUGGGGAAUUCCUGGUGUAGCGGUGGAAUGCGCAGAUAUCAGGAGGAACACCGGUGGCGAAGGCGGAUCUCUGGGCCAUUACUGACGCUGAGGAGCGAAAGCGUGGGGAGCGAACAGG
This 254-nucleotide ribosomal RNA is filed under the name uncultured bacterium. Its description in RNAcentral is "partial 16S ribosomal RNA". It matches the Rfam family "Bacterial small subunit ribosomal RNA", at positions 524 to 776 of the family's 1533-position model. The record is from RNAcentral.